GUCCAAACCAGGCAGGAGGGGAGCACACAGGUUGGUUUUCCUGGGUUUGCAUCUCAGCUCCAUCACUUACCAGCUCUGUAACUCAGGCCAAAUCCCCAUUCCACAAGAGCAAACUAGGGCAGUGGAAUGGGGAUUGCAAGGAUGGUUGUGAAGAUAAAUAAUCUUUCACUGAGCAGGGGCAGAACACAUAGUAGCUACUCAAUAAUUCAUAGACCCUCCACCUCCUUUAAACUGGAAAUAAACAACUUGUUGGCAAAUAGAAAUCCCAGAGAGACCCACUUUCACAAAUACUGUGGGACUUAUAAUUAGCAUGUAAAAGGAUUGCUUCCAAGCCCUGAAAGCAUGCUGUCCUUUAAAGGCUCUUAGGCAGGCUCCGGAAGCCUUGUUUACAUUUUGGAAUUAAUUUGCUUAGCAAAUCCACACUGGUAGAGCAAAAUUAAAUUUCAGUUUAGACCCUGUUUGAUUGACCCCAAACUCCGAAUGAUGGUGGCCUUACUGUGAUCUCAGUUUCACUUUUCUGAGAGCCUUCAGAUUAAUUGCAACCGGCCUUCUAACAUUCUAUAACAUCAGUGGUCUUUUCUAGAAAGAUACAAAACAUGAAAUAUCUGAACCAAUGUUAUCAUGACCAUUUCUCCUUCUCCAUCUGAAUCCCUCAAAGGGACAUACUUCCAAUGCUAAGGAAAUUUAGAAAAGCUGUCUGCAGAACAGGUUAGACCAGGAGCUUGUGCUAGGCAAAAGCCCCAGGGCAGGUUAGAGGUCACAGCAGCUGUGGUGCCCAGAGAAGAAGGCAGAAGGAAGUCGGGUGGGGGAUGCACUUCCUGGGUGAGGCCGAAUCAGCUAUUUUGGACUCUGGUUCCUCAUUAGUCAAUAACCAAGAAGACUACAGAAAUGGUCCACUGGGCCCUUCUCCUGAACAAUUCAUUUGCUGACUAAGAUGAAAUGUUGUAUUUGUUGUUCAUUCGAGGCGCUGAUCUCUGUACCAUGGAGAAGCCCCAUUUUUUCCCACUGUACAGAACCAUAGACGAGACUGAUAGAUCACUUGGGGGUUUCUGAAGGUUCAUAUUAGGACAGCAGGGUGCAGAAGCUGAAUGGGGAAACCAUCAAACAGGAAGUCGGGAUCUCCUGACAGCACCUCACUGUUCCAAUCACUUCAAGUCCAAAUGGAGGAGUUAGAAAAGGGUAUAAACUGCCACUGCAGCUGUAACUAAGAGUCAAGACCUGCCUAUUUUUUUAAUGAAUGAGUCACUGUAUACAGUGCCACAUCUUUACCUGGGGAAGCCAAUUUAUUCCAAUAGUGUCU
This 1300-nucleotide long non-coding RNA is filed under the name Marmota monax (woodchuck). The record is from RNAcentral. Lineage: Eukaryota; Metazoa; Chordata; Mammalia; Rodentia; Sciuridae.